RNAcentral lists this ribosomal RNA (559 nucleotides) under Apoecilus cf. cynicus MRCPEN231. RNAcentral describes it as "partial large subunit ribosomal RNA". It matches the Rfam family "Bacterial large subunit ribosomal RNA", at positions 1799 to 2619 of the family's 2925-position model. The record is from RNAcentral. Lineage: Eukaryota; Metazoa; Arthropoda; Insecta; Hemiptera; Pentatomidae.
CUUGUUUUACAAAACAUGUCUUAAUGUAAAUUUUUAUUAAGUCUGACCUGCUCAAUGACUUCUUUGAUGGGUUAAAUAGCCGCAGUAUUUUGACUGUGCGAAGGUAGCAUAAUCAUUUGUCUUUUAAUUAAAGGCUUGUAUGAAUGGUUGGAUGAGGGAAUUACUUUCUUUAUAUUAUGUGUUGAAUUUAAUUUUUUAGUUAAAAGGCUAAAAUUUUUAAGUGGGACGAGAAGACCCUAUAGAAUUUAACUAUUGGUUAUUAAUUUAUAUGUUUUGUUUAUUAAUUAUAAUUAAUAAUAAAAUAGUUUUGUUGGGGUGACAAUGGGAUUAAUUUAACUCCUAUAUUCAGAUAUUUAUUUAUUUGUAUACUUUUGAUCCUAUUAUAAGGAUAAUUAGAUUAAAUUACCUUAGGGAUAACAGCGUAAUUUUUCUGGAGAGUUCUUAUCAAUAGAAAAGUUUGCGACCUCGAUGUUGGAUUAAAAUUAGAUUUAUAGCGCAGAAGCUUAAUUUCUAGGUCUGUUCGACCUUUAAACUUUUACAUGAUCUGUUUUCAACCCGG